CUAACUCCAAUAUGCAUGCACAAUUUGGAGUUAUUUUCAUGAUAAAUUAAAGUUAUUUAAACUAUGAUUAUCAAUACAAAAUAAGAAGAACAAUGAAUUAACCAAGUACUCUGAAUUUGCUCACACAUCAAGAUUUAAGAAUUUUAGACCUAGUGAUGAGCAGCUCUAAACAACCAUGGAGCUAGAGCUCUGUGAAAUGAACAAUUUUCCUUCUCAAUAGUCCAAUAGGAAUGCAAAACAAUUUCUAAUGGAUCUACAGAAUCCUUCUUAUAGCGGGCUAUGUUAUAGAGACAAGGAUACUGUUCCCGUAAUGUUAUAUUCCCCAACCAC
This 330-nucleotide long non-coding RNA is filed under the name Setaria viridis. RNAcentral describes it as "long non-coding RNA (SVIR_LNC010955)". The record is from RNAcentral. Lineage: Eukaryota; Viridiplantae; Streptophyta; Magnoliopsida; Poales; Poaceae.